Molecule: ribosomal RNA, 497 nt
Filed under: uncultured bacterium
Lineage: Bacteria
Description: partial 16S ribosomal RNA
Rfam family: Bacterial small subunit ribosomal RNA
Source: RNAcentral
GAUGAACGCUGGCGGCGUGCCUAAUACAUGCAAGUCGAGCGAACAGAUGAGGAGCUUGCUCUUCUGACGUUAGCGGCGGACGGGUGAGUAACACGUGGAUAACCUACCUAUAAGACUGGGAUAACUUCGGGAAACCGGAGCUAAUACCGGAUAAUAUAUUGAACCGCAUGGUUCAAUAGUGAAAGACGGUUUUGCUGUCACUUAUAGAUGGAUCCGCGCCGUAUUAGCUAGUUGGUAAGGUAACGGGUUACCAAGGCGGCGAUGCGUAUCCGACCUGGGCGAGUGAUCGGCCACACUGGAACUGGGACACGGUCCAGACUACUACGGGAGGGAGCAGUAGGGAAUGUUCCGCAAUGGGCGAAAACCUGACGGAGCAACGCCGCGUGAGUGAUGAAGGUCUUCGGAUCGUAAAACUCUGUUAUUAGGGAAGAACAAAUGUGUAAGUAACUGUGCACGUCUUGACGGUACCUAAUCAGAAAGCCACGGCUAACUACGUG